Dreissena polymorpha is the source of this 711-nucleotide long non-coding RNA. RefSeq lists it as uncharacterized. The transcript has 2 exons. The record is from RefSeq and is a predicted model, not a curated record. NCBI's taxonomy places the organism in Eukaryota, Metazoa, Mollusca, Bivalvia, Myida, Dreissenidae.
AAGCAAUUUAGCCCUUAUUUGGGUAUAUCAGGGUGGGGGGUCAACUUGAAAAACAACUAUUCCAGGUCAAAUUAUCUGAAUUCAUGCAUUUAAGGCACUUAUUUUCUUCUCUUUUGUUAAGAAAUGACCAAAAAUCAGCUUUCCCAGUCAUAUUUUGCACUUGCAGAUGAUAUUUCAUUUUUACCUAAAGCUAGUUUAGGUUACAAUAUACCAAAAGAUUUCCUACACAAAUUCAAUGUAAAAGCAAUAACUUCAACAAAAAAUAAAGUCAAACUUUUGCGCAUAGAGACCCCCAUAACCAUACCUUUUCUUAAAGAGCAUUCCAAGCCGCAAUGAUUUAGACAAUAAAAAAGGGGGGUCAUGCGUUUUGCAAGAAAGAACUCGAUGCGAAUCAGCGGUCACUGUUUUACAGCCAUCAAUUUACCGGGUUCGUACCAGUGGAUGAGGGUUUCCCGCCAUCUGUCAAAGUCUCAUGUAGUCUUUAACCUUCAAGCAAAUGAGUGAAUUUCUGAUAAACAUCAAUGUUUUCCCUACCACAUGCACAAAGAAACAUUCUAAAAUAAAGUCAUGGCAAGUGCCCACACAGAAAAUUGUGUCUUCUUAUAAAUGAUGUUCAGGUUUUUAAAGAGUAUAGCAUUGCACUCCCAAAAGAUUUAGUAUAUUGUAACCUAAAGGAAAAAUAUGUUCUGAAUAAAAUGUGUUUUUCUUGCA